Molecule: ribosomal RNA, 253 nt
Filed under: uncultured bacterium
Lineage: Bacteria
Description: partial 16S ribosomal RNA
Rfam family: Bacterial small subunit ribosomal RNA
Source: RNAcentral
UACGUAGGGGGCAAGCGUUAUCCGGAUUUACUGGGUGUAAAGGGAGCGUAGACGGCUUUGCAAGCCAGAUGUGAAAGCCCGGGGCUCAACCCCGGGACUGCAUUUGGAACUGUAUGGCUGGAGUGUCGGAGAGGCAGGCGGAAUUCCUAGUGUAGCGGUGAAAUGCGUAGAUAUUAGGAGGAACACCAGUGGCGAAGGCGGCCUGCUGGACGAUGACUGACGUUGAGGCUCGAAAGCGUGGGGAGCAAACGGG